GAAUUUAUUAUGCCCCACCUACGAUAGUAGAGGGGCAUUAUGUUUUCUGGUCUGUGGCUCCGUUCGUCCGUCCAGGUUAAAGUUUUUGGUCAAGGUAGUUUUUGAUGAAGCUGAAGUCCAAUCAACUUGAAACUUGGUACACUUGUUGCUUAUGAGAUGAUCUUUCUAAUUUUUAAGCCAAAUUAGACUUUUGACCCCAAUUUCACGGUCCACUGAACAUAGAAAAUGAAAGUGGGAGUUUCAGGUUAAAGUUUUUGGUCAAGGUAGUUUUUGAUGAGGCUGAAGUCCAAUCAACUAGAAACUUAGUACACUUGUUGCUUAUGAUAUGAUCUUUCUAAUUUUAAUGCCAAAUUAGA
RNAcentral lists this long non-coding RNA (356 nucleotides) under Mytilus galloprovincialis (Mediterranean mussel). Lineage: Eukaryota; Metazoa; Mollusca; Bivalvia; Mytilida; Mytilidae. The record is from RNAcentral.